RNAcentral lists this ribosomal RNA (450 nucleotides) under uncultured bacterium. RNAcentral describes it as "partial 16S ribosomal RNA". It matches the Rfam family "Bacterial small subunit ribosomal RNA", at positions 354 to 796 of the family's 1533-position model. The record is from RNAcentral.
GUGGGGAAUAUUGGACAAUGGGCGCAAGCCUGAUCCAGCCAUACCGCGUGGGUGAAGAAGGCCUUCGGGUUGUAAAGCCCUUUUGUUGGGAAAGAAAUCCUGUCGAUUAAUACUCGGUGGGGAUGACGGUACCCAAAGAAUAAGCACCGGCUAACUUCGUGCCAGCAGCCGCGGUAAUACGAAGGGUGCAAGCGUUACUCGGAAUUACUGGGCGUAAAGCGUGCGUAGGUGGUGGUUUAAGUCUGCUGUGAAAGCCCUGGGCUCAACCUGGGAAUUGCAGUGGAUACUGGAUCACUAGAGUGUGGUAGAGGGAUGCGGAAUUUCUGGUGUAGCAGUGAAAUGCGUAGAGAUCAGAAGGAACAUCCGUGGCGAAGGCGGCAUCCUGGGCCAACACUGACACUGAUGCACGAAAGCAUGGGGAGCAAACAGGAUUAGAAACCCCAGUAGUCC